Plutella xylostella (diamondback moth) is the source of this 733-nucleotide non-coding RNA. The record is from RefSeq and is a predicted model, not a curated record. Lineage: Eukaryota; Metazoa; Arthropoda; Insecta; Lepidoptera; Plutellidae.
UAUCGUGCAGAUUAAAAAUAUUUUGAUUAGAUCUUUCGAUUUGAUAAGCAAUUUUAAAUAAAAACAGUGAUUUUUCUGGACUAUCAUCAGUGUGAGUGUACCCAGUUUCGAGAUUCAGACAUUAAUUCAAAAAUUAAAUAAGAAAUGAAAUUCCUCAUUAUUUUUGCGCUGGUUGCUGCCGUGGCCUCAGCCACCGUCAUCAAGCCUUCCCAUGACCAGAAAUUCCGCGAGGGAAGCAAUAACCAGAUGAUCGUCAAUAUCAUCGGUGCUUCUGACGUGCUUCCGGUUCCCCCUGCUCCGCCUGGACAGCCGAUCAACGUGGUUGAAACGGGAUCGAACAAACCCAUCACCGUUGCUGAACCGAGUACCAACAAACCUAUCUUCGUUGCUGAACCGAGUACCAACAAACCUAUCUUCGUUGCUGAACCGAGUACCAACAAACCUAUCUUCGUUGCUGAACCGAGUACCAACAAACCUAUCUUCGUUGCUGAACCGAGUACCAACAAACCCAUCACUGUUGCUGAACUGAGUACCAACAAACCCAUCACCGUUGCUGAACCGAGUACCAACAAACCUAUCUUCGUAGUGGAACCGAGUACCAACAAACCUAUUUUCGUUGUUGAACCAAGUACCAACAAACCUAUCUUCGUUGUUGAACCAAGUACCAACAAACCCAUCUUCGUUGUUGAACCGAGUACCAAAAAACCCAUCACCAUUGCUGAACCGAGUACCA